GCCACGGCCCAUAGAGGGUGGUAGGCCCGUGGGACCGUUGAAUUUAUAGGGAAGGCUUCUCCUUAGAGUCGGGUUGCUUGGUAAUGCAGCCCCAAGUGGGUGGUAAACUCCAUCUAAGGCUAAAUAUGACCACGAGACCGAUAGCGAACAAGUACCAUGAGGGAAAGUUGAAAAGAACUUUGAAGAGAGAGUUCAAGAGUACGUGAAACCGUUCGGGGGUAAACAGAUAGAACCUACAAGGUUGAAAGGGGAGACUCAAGCCGACAGAGUGAUGACUAUAUCUUUUGUUAUAUAUACAUUAUGUUAUAUGUCGUCAGAUAUGUCCGCUGCAUUUCUUAACCCUAGUAAGACGUCGCAACCCGUUGGGUGUCUGUCUCAAGGCACGGGAUGAAGUCUGUAUUGAUCUGAUUUCAUUACACGGCUCCCGUUGACCCGGCAGACUGCCCGACGGUAUGUGAAAUGAGGUUGACCCGCAUAUAAUGCGUCCGGUACAUAUUAACAAAAAUUAAUGUGUAGUCCUCGGACGGGGUGACAUCCUCUGUUUGCGACGAUACCAGAUUGGGUGGUCUAUCUGACCCGUCUUGAAACACGGACCAAGGAGUCUAACAUGUACGCGAGUUAUUGGGAAUUUCUAAACCUAAAGGCAUAAUGAAAGUAAAAAAAUCUUAUAUUCUAAGAUUUUAAUGGAAGAUGACAUUAUAUAUUAUAAUGUUCGCAUUCCAAGGGCGUCUCAUAAUUACUGAUCAUUGAUUUAUUUCUUUGAUAAAGAAUAGAGGCGAACCUAGAGCGUACACGUUGGGACCCGAAAGAUGGUGAACUAUUCCUGGCCAGGACGAAGUCAGGGGAAACCCUGAUGGAGGUCCGUAACGAUUCUGACGUGCAAAUCGAUCGUUGGAGCUGGGUAUAGGGGCGAAAGACUAAUCGAACCAUCUAGUAGCUGGUUCCCUCCGAAGUUUCCCUCAGGAUAGCUGGUGCUCAUCUAAAUUAAUGAAACUUAUUGAAUCUCAUCCGGUAAAGCGAAUGAUUAGAGGCCUUGGGGCCGAAACGACCUCAACCUAUUCUCAAACUUUAAAUGGGUGAGAACUUUGACAUUCAUGAAAUGAUGAUGUCAAAUGUUUUAUAAGGAUCAGAGUACCAAGUGGGCCACUUUUGGUAAGCAGAACUGGCGCUGUGGNNNNNNNNNNNNNNNNNNNNNNNNNNNNNNNNNNNNNNNNNNNNNNNNNNNNNNNNNNNNNNNNNNNNNNNNNNNNNNNCAGGACGGUGGCCAUGGAAGUUGGAAUCCGCUAAGGAGUGUGUAACAACUCACCUGCCGAAGCAACUAGCCCUGAAAAUGGAUGGCGCUAAAGCGUCGUGCCUAUACCCGACCGUCACUAUAAUAUUAAUAAUAUUUAAUUAUUAUAGAUAAGUGAAAUAGUGACGAGUAGGAGGGUCGCGAUGGUGAGCAAAGAAGGGUCUGGGUGUAAACCUGCCUGGAGCCGCCAUCGGUGCAGAUCUUGGUGGUAGUAGCAAAUACUCUAAAGAGGACCUUGAGGACUGAUGUGGAGAAGGGUUUCGUGUGAACAGCCGUUGCACACGAGUCAGUCGAUCCUAAGUUCUAAGAGAAAUCUGACUCAAUUGUAUAUAAUUCCAAUUAUAUGAUAUAUUGUAUGGAGCGAAAGGGAAUCCGGUUCCUAUUCCGGAACCCGGUAGUGGAACCGUACAGUUAUCUAAACAAUAACUGUCGAGACCCUCAUAAGAUCUCGUCAGGGUAACCUAACGUAACCCGGAGACGUCGUCGGGAGCCACGGGAAGAGUUUUCUUUUCUGUAUGAGCGUUCGUAUACCAUGGAAUCUUUUCGAAGGGAGAUAUGGUUAUGGAACGCGAAGAGCACCGCAGUUGCUGCGGGGUCUGUGGUUUCCCGACGAACCUUGA
This 1911-nucleotide ribosomal RNA is filed under the name Tricholepidion sp. ZG03. Its description in RNAcentral is "partial 28S ribosomal RNA". It matches the Rfam family "Eukaryotic large subunit ribosomal RNA", at positions 195 to 1808 of the family's 3401-position model. Lineage: Eukaryota; Metazoa; Arthropoda; Insecta; Zygentoma; Lepidotrichidae. The record is from RNAcentral.